GGCAAAAGGAGGCGUGGCAAAAGAAAUUGCAUUAUCACGUGACUUCAUUAUACUCUUUACUUUCGAAUAAUCAGUUUAUAAAAAUUCUUUUAGAGAAUAAAGGGUAAAAAUAAAAUUCUGUUCUUAUUUUGAAAUAAAACAAUUUUCAAUCCAAAGGAAUUUUAGGUGAUUAUUUCGCAAUUCCAUUUAAAAAUGUCAGAGUCAGUGUGUUGACGUCACAGAAUUCGUAAAUUUCA
RNAcentral lists this long non-coding RNA (236 nucleotides) under Mytilus galloprovincialis (Mediterranean mussel). The record is from RNAcentral. Lineage: Eukaryota; Metazoa; Mollusca; Bivalvia; Mytilida; Mytilidae.